This 402-nucleotide ribosomal RNA is filed under the name bacterium. Its description in RNAcentral is "partial 16S ribosomal RNA". It matches the Rfam family "Bacterial small subunit ribosomal RNA", at positions 355 to 776 of the family's 1533-position model. The record is from RNAcentral.
UGGGGAAUUUUGCACAAUGGGGGAAACCCUGAUGCAGCGACGCCGCGUGAUUUAGAAGGCCUUCGGGUUGUAAAAAUCUUUUUUACGGGAUGAAAAUGACAGUACCGUAAGAAUAAGGUCCGGCUAAAUACGUGCCAGCAGCCGCGGUAAUACGUAUGGACCGAGCGUUGUCCGGAAUCAUUGGGCGUAAAGGGUACGUAGGCGGCCUAGUAAGUUAGAAGUGAAAUAAUAUAGCUCAACUAUAUAAAGCUUUUAAAACUGCUAGGCUUGAGAGAUGGCAGGGAAGGUGGAAUUCCUAGUGUAGCGGUGAAAUGCGCAGAUAUUAGGAAGAAUACCGGUGGCGAAGGCGACUUUCUGGUCAUCAUCUGACGCUGAGGUACGAAAGCGUGGGUAGCAAGCAGG